GUUAUCGCCUAGUCACAGGGGCAGAUGGAAGAGAAGGAUGGCAGUUAUCGCCUAGUCACAGGGGCAGAUAUUAGAGAAGGACGGCAGUUAUCGCCUAGUCACAGGGGCAGAUGGAAGAGAAGGACGGCAGUUAUCGCCUAGUCACAGGGGCAGAUGGAAGAGAAGGACGGCAGUUAUCGCCUAGUCACAGGGGCAGAUAUUAGAGAAGGACGGCAGUUAUCGCCUGGUCACAGGGGCAGAUAUUAGAGAAGGACGGCAGUUACCGCCUAGUCACAGGGGCAGAUAGAAG
RNAcentral lists this long non-coding RNA (289 nucleotides) under Homo sapiens (human). Its description in RNAcentral is "HSALNT0082875". The record is from RNAcentral. Lineage: Eukaryota; Metazoa; Chordata; Mammalia; Primates; Hominidae.